UCGGGAAUUUUGGGCAAUGGGCGAAAGCCUGACCCAGCAACGCCGCGUGAGGGAUGAAGUAUUUCGGUAUGUAAACCUCGAAAGAAUGGGAAGAAUAAAUGACGGUACCAUUUAUAAGCUCCGGCUAACUACGUGCCAGCAGCCGCGGUAAUACGUAGGGAGCAAGCGUUGUUCGGAUUUACUGGGCGUAAAGGGCGCGUAGGCGGCGCGGUAAGUCACUUGUGAAAUCUCUGAGCUUAACUCAGAACGGCCAAGUGAUACUGCUGGGCGAGAGUGCGGAAGAGGCAACCGGAAUUCUUGGUGUAGCGGUGAAAUGCGUAGAUAUCAAGAGGACCACCUGAGGCGAAGGCGGGUUGCUGGGCCGACACUGACGCUGAUGCGCGAAAGCCAGGGGAGCAAAC
This 401-nucleotide ribosomal RNA is filed under the name uncultured bacterium. RNAcentral describes it as "bacterial SSU rRNA". It matches the Rfam family "Bacterial small subunit ribosomal RNA", at positions 355 to 773 of the family's 1533-position model. The record is from RNAcentral.